CAGCAGGCGCGAAAACUUUACAAUGCGGGAAACCGUGAUAAGGGAACUCCGAGUGUCCGUAAAUGCGGACUGUCCAUAUGUCUAAAAAGCAUGUGAAGAAAGGGCCGGGCAAGACCGGUGCCAGCCGCCGCGGUAAUACCGGCGGCUCGAGUGGUGGCCACUAUUAUUGGGCUUAAAGCGUUCGUAGCUGGAUCGUUAAGUCUCUUGGGAAAUCUACCGGCUUAACCGAUAGGCGUCCAAGGGAUACUGGCGAUCUAGGGACCGGGAGAGGUGAGGGGUACUUCAGGGGUAGGAGUGAAAUCCUGUAAUCCUUGGGGGACCACCUGUGGCGAAGGCGCCUCACCAGAACGGCUCCGACAGUGAGGGACGAAAGCUGGGGGAGCAAACCGGAUUAGAUACCCGGGUAGUCCCAGCCGUAAACGAUGCGCGUUAGGUGUAUCGAUGACCACGAGUCAUCGAGGUGCCGAAGGGAAACCGUGAAACGCGCCGCCUGGGAAGUACGGUCGCAAGGCUGAAACUUAAAGGAAUUGGCGGGGGAGCAC
This 542-nucleotide ribosomal RNA is filed under the name uncultured archaeon. RNAcentral's name for it is "bacterial SSU rRNA". It matches the Rfam family "Archaeal small subunit ribosomal RNA", at positions 333 to 879 of the family's 1478-position model. The record is from RNAcentral.